This 786-nucleotide ribosomal RNA is filed under the name uncultured bacterium. Its description in RNAcentral is "bacterial SSU rRNA". It matches the Rfam family "Bacterial small subunit ribosomal RNA", at positions 8 to 796 of the family's 1533-position model. The record is from RNAcentral.
AGAGUUUGAUCAUGGCUCAGAACGAACGCUGGCGGCGUGCUUAACACAUGCAAGUCGAGUGCGCGGUUGUAGCAAUACAACUGGCGCACGGCGCACGGGUGCGUAACACGUGGGCAAUCUGCCCUUCGAUGGGGAAUAACUCCGGGAAACCGAAGCUAAUUCCGCAUAACAUUCCUUGGACCUCGGUUCGAGGACUCAAAGCCGUAAGGCGUCGAGGGAGGAGCCCGCGCACGAUUAGCUAGUUGGUAGGGUAACGGCCUACCAAGGCUUUGAUCGUUAGCUGGUCUGAGAGGAUGGCCAGCCACACUGGAACUGAGACACGGUCCAGACUCCUACGGGAGGCAGCAGUGGGGAAUCUUGCACAAUGGGCGAAAGCCUGAUGCAGCGACGCCGCGUGGGGGAUGAAGCAUUUCGGUGUGUAAACCCCUUUCGACCCGGACGAAUGCCUCGCAAGAGGAGUGACGGUACGGGUAUAAGAAGCCCCGGCUAACUACGUGCCAGCAGCCGCGGUAAGACGUAGGGGGCCAGCGUUGUUCGGAAUUACUGGGUGUAAAGGGUUCGUAGGCGGUGUGGCAAGUUGGGAGUGAAAUCUCUGGGCUCAACCCAGAGGCUGCUUCCAAAACUGCUGUGCUUGAGUGUGGGAGAGGCGCGUGGAAUUGCAGGUGUAGCGGUGAAAUGCGUAGAUAUCUGCAGGAACACCCGCGGCGAAAGCGGCGCGCUGGACCACUACUGACGCUGAGGAACGAAAGCUAGGGGAGCAAACAGGAUUAGAUACCCUAGUAGUCC